GCGUAAUUGGUUUAGUGGUAAAAUUCUCCGUUGCCAUUCAAUGAAUGCACUAUCGGGGAGCCCUGGGUUCGAUUCCCAGAUUACGCA
This is a non-coding RNA of Fusarium tricinctum, 87 nucleotides long. Lineage: Eukaryota; Fungi; Ascomycota; Sordariomycetes; Hypocreales; Nectriaceae. The record is from the annotation of a GenBank genome assembly.